RNAcentral lists this ribosomal RNA (253 nucleotides) under uncultured bacterium. RNAcentral describes it as "partial 16S ribosomal RNA". It matches the Rfam family "Bacterial small subunit ribosomal RNA", at positions 524 to 776 of the family's 1533-position model. The record is from RNAcentral.
UACGUAGGGCGCAAGCGUUGUCCGGAAUUAUUGGGCGUAAAGAGCUCGUAGGCGGUCUGUUACGUCCGCUGUGAAAACCCAGGGCUUAACCCUGGGCUUGCAGUGGAUACGGGUAGACUAGAGGCAGGUAGGGGAGAAUGGAAUUCCCGGUGUAGCGGUGAAAUGCGCAGAUAUCAGGAGGAACACCGGUGGCGAAGGCGGGUCUCUGGGCCGAAACUGACGCUGAGGAGCGAAAGCGUGGGGAGCAAACAGG